RNAcentral lists this long non-coding RNA (239 nucleotides) under Elaeis guineensis (African oil palm). Its description in RNAcentral is "long non-coding RNA (EGUI_LNC044848)". Lineage: Eukaryota; Viridiplantae; Streptophyta; Magnoliopsida; Arecales; Arecaceae. The record is from RNAcentral.
CGGGUACGGAGCGUGCCGAGGAAAGAUAGGUAUUUUUCCUAAGAUUAAUCACAUCUAUUUAGUUAAAAAAGAGAUACAACUCUGCUAGUGCAAAUUAAUUCAAAACUCCCGAGCUCUUUUUAUUUUUUUAUUACCUCAAUUUUAUGAUAAUUUAUUUUCUAAAUCAAAAACAACGCUUCUUUCUUUUACCUUGCAAUUUCAAUUUAGCCCAAGAUCCCUGAGGAUACGAUCUCGACUCA